This is a long non-coding RNA of Carassius auratus (goldfish), 669 nucleotides long. RefSeq lists it as uncharacterized. Lineage: Eukaryota; Metazoa; Chordata; Actinopteri; Cypriniformes; Cyprinidae. The transcript is spliced from 4 exons. The record is from RefSeq and is a predicted model, not a curated record.
UGUAAAAUUUUUCCAGGAUUUCACAAGAUAUAACUGUAAUAUUUCACAGUUAAUUACAUUAUUACCACUUCACAGGCUUUAACUGUGAUAAUUCACAAUAUAAUACCGUAUUUAGACUUUUACUGUGAAAAUAAUGCAGGCGCGGGGCUUUUACAAGAAACUACUGUGAAUGCCGUCUUUUUUGAGUGGCAACUGCGGCAGCGUCAUCAGAGCGUCAUCAGAGCUCUCUGAUCUACAUGGUCUCAUUCGGUGGAUUCAGACAGCGCAUUUUCUACAUUGACCGACGAUAAAUAAAGUUAUAAGGUGCUUCUUGGGCAUCAACCCAGAGACGGGCACAAAAUCUAAGAGGCAGAGAGGUCACAUGAACCAGCAAGUCUGCACUCUUAUCAGGAAGCUCAUUGACUUCGAAUGGAUGUCAAUCUAAUUGGAUAGAACCCACACUAUGCAGGUGCCAGCUGCGAGGGAAGGAGCGAGAUACCUGCGACCCUCUCUAUUCCCACCUUUUUGUCUUUUCUUACAUCUCUCUCCCUCACUCUCUCUUCUGUCUCCUUCUUUCUCUUUUGACACACAUUCCUGUUACCCAGUGUCAAUCCCUGUUGCCCAGUGUUUUAUUCAUGUAAUUAAAUUGUAUUUUACUUCUAAAAAAUAAAAGUUAUGUCACUGUUUUUA